This 800-nucleotide long non-coding RNA is filed under the name Phoenix dactylifera (date palm). RNAcentral describes it as "long non-coding RNA (PDAC_LNC007686)". Lineage: Eukaryota; Viridiplantae; Streptophyta; Magnoliopsida; Arecales; Arecaceae. The record is from RNAcentral.
AAAUUUUAUUUGAAAAUUAUAUUAUAUGCUCUGAAUUCCGUGAAACAUGCCUGUACAGUUUAUGAAAUCUAUUUUUAUAUUUAUGCAUUCUCAGCAUGGCUAUGAUCUGUUCUGUUCUGUUCUGGCCCCGCCAAUGGGGAUUAUACGUUGAACCUGUCGACUUGUAAUCUGUGAGGAACCGGUUUCGACACCGCGCCACCGGUGAUUAGAAUAGUGGUUUCUGGACACCGUUUCCACCGGUGACUAACAAUAGUGGUUUCUGACACUCUGUGCAACCCAUGCCACUGGGUUACGUGGCCGUAGCCUAUUAUGUUGAGAUUCUGGUAUAAGAGUUUUUGGAAAAAUGAUAAUAAGUUUUGAAAACAACAAAACGAUGUUAUUUAUGAUUUAUUCCAGACAUUAUCCUGUAUUUUGAUCUGAUAUGCUCUGACCCCACUCUGGGGUAUUUUGUUGCUUACUGGGCUAGUGUAGCUCAUUAUUCUGUUUUCUUCAUUUUUCAGAUCCAGAGGCUUGAUCGCACGGGAUUGGGGAGUGCGUUAGAGUUUCCAACGAUUAUUCCUUCAGUUAUUAGCAUUUUAGAUUAGUCUGUACAUUUGGAUCAUGUUGGCAUAUGCUAUUUUGAAAUUUUGUAAGACUGCUUUUGAAUGAUUUUAAGUAUUUUGUCAAUUUUAAGCAUCUGCUAUUAAUCCUUAAAUAAAGUCUUGAACAUCUGUAUUUGCUUUGAUGUAAUCCGAUGCCUUGCACGCCUGCGCGGCCCGCCGUGCGGGCGAGCGGCGUCUGCCGCGCCUCGGGCUCGGGGC